GUUUUACACAAUAAAAGAAUUUUUUAAAAAACAAAAUCAAGUUUUUGUGUCUCCAUUUUCUGAAUGACGGUAACAGUUUGAUUCGUAAUAUUUUGGACUAUAUUGGACUUUUUGAUCGCUUGGUAUUACACUUUUUGUGAUAUAGGGUGACAAAAAAUGGAUAGUGUAUUGCAGUGCAUUGUGACUUACUAAGCCUGAUCAGGCUCCUGCCUCUGGCAGGACCUGUCAGGCUUAGAUACCAUGGCAAGUCUGGAUGCCUGUGAAAACGUCUGGUUGGCAUGGUAACCAUUGGGACGCUGCCACACCAGCGGCCCAUAGAGAGAGCUCCCUCCCAGUUAACCCCUUCCAUACAGCAGUCCCUACGGACCGUGGCAUGGUAGUCUUUAAACGGCUGACAUCGGUGGCAGCACAGAUGUCGGUUCUAGCAACAGAGUGUCAGCUGAAUGUUACAGCUGACACUUUACUGCUAUGCUGCUACUGCUUGACCAUCCCGGGGGAUAAGGCCUGAGGGUGUUUGUUCGGUGGUCCCACUCAGCCAUCCUGAAUUGGGGGGAUUGUGACAUUGUGGGGGCUACAGAGACUCAACAGCGCAGCUCCUUUCUACUCAACACUCACUGACAGGUUGAGAUCGGAGCUGCGCUGCAGGAUUUGAGGGACCGCUCUGAGUGGACGCCUGUUGGGUGCAGUCAGUGACACCAGUUUGCAUGCCGGUGUCACCGCACUUGCAGUGACACGUUGGAUUUAAUGACGUACUGUGUACAUCCUAGGUCAUUAAGGGGUUAAAGGCACAUACACAGAUAAUUGCUACUAAUCGGAUGACUUUCUAGGUGAAAAAUUGCUCCAGCUGUUGCAAAUAAUCAGCAGCGCCACAUGUGUUCAGAGGAAGUGCCUGGUAUUGUAGUGGAGUGCGAUCUUAGUCACACAUGGACAGACGGGAUACAAUAUUGGGGCUCAUUUACUAAAAACUGGCGCCUCACACACCAGUCAAUGAAAACCGCAUGCCUUUUAAUAAAUUUGUUGCAUCUGUGCUCUCCCUGCGCAAGAAGCCGAAACGUGUAUAGCCAGUUUUCUGUUGUAAAUUAUAGUAAAUGUAAGGGCCGUGCUGGGCUGCAGGAAUUUGUGACUUUUGUACACCAGAAAACGGGCAUACUUUGUAGACCUUAUGAAUCAUUAUUGUAUUGCUGUAUCUAUAAUAUCUGUGCCAGUACUGCAUGCAGACAACUGCACCCUGCUCACAAUAUCACCAGUGCACCACAGCUUGCUGUCUGUGAAUUGCACCAAUGCCACAAGUAUGUGUUACAUGUCACCCAGCAGAUAUUUUGGGUGCUGUUCGCUAUAUCAUGAUUUUGUUUACAACGGAGCCAUUAAAGCUAUGCGGGAAGCAUAUACCGGCAAACCUUGGUGGAUAAAAUUGACUUUAAUGGGAUCCAUCAAUGUGCCAAAAAUAGCGCUGUAGACUGUGAUACUCUUGCCAAAAAUAUUGUGAAGUUCGGGGGAAAGCCCUAGAGGUUCUGAAUAUAGAUGUGAACAAAGCCUUAUUUCUGAGUAUUACUACAUAUGUAAUAAAUGAUAAGAAUUAUCCUACUGGUAUCCAGAAAUGUAACAAACACCAGCCUUAGUAUAAAGUAGAUCGGCGAAGAAUGGGCCAAAUGUAUUAAGAACCACAGACCUCUUAAUAAAUUAGGCACAUUCCCAGGCACCAGAAGUUCACAUCCUCACCAGCUAUGAGAGGGCAUAGGUUUGAAAUAUCAUUUAAACCUGUUUCUACUACUGGGCAGUGGGAGGCCAUGAACCUGCCCAAGUCCCGCUCAUUUUCCCACCUAGCUUUUGAAAAGUGGCAAGAUAAGUGAAAAGCCAUAAAUUAUGGUGUAAAAUAUAGAAUCAAUAUCUACAUAAUUUGAAACUUUCGUACACCACAACGUCCCUGAAUAAAUCUUGUGCCCUUUCUAGAGGUUUGCAAAGGAAGCAUGCCGCAUUAAAAUUCCAUCCAGCAGUCAGUAAGAGAAGGCGCUAGACUAGAUCCCAGUAGCGCAGCAGGAGCUAAAUACUUUGAGGUAUUCUCACACUGCUAUGGUGGAUACUGAUGUCGCAGUGCAGCACAUAAAUAAUAGGCUUCUCUUGUGAAGAGAAUGACAAAAGUAAAAA
This is a long non-coding RNA of Bufo bufo (common toad), 2145 nucleotides long. RefSeq lists it as uncharacterized. Lineage: Eukaryota; Metazoa; Chordata; Amphibia; Anura; Bufonidae. The transcript is spliced from 2 exons. The record is from RefSeq and is a predicted model, not a curated record.